GGGCGGGACACGUGUUAUCCUGUCUGAAUAUGGGGGGACCAUCCUCCAAGGCUAAAUACUCCUGACUGACCGAUAGUGAACCAGUACCGUGAGGGAAAGGCGAAAAGAACCCCUGUGAGGGGAGUGAAAUAGAACCUGAAACCGUGUACGUACAAGCAGUAGGAGCACCUUCGUGGUGUGACUGCGUACCUUUUGUAUAAUGGGUCAGCGACUUAUAUUCAGUGGCAAGGUUAACCAUCUAGGGGAGCCGUAGGGAAACCGAGUCUUAACUGGGCGCCAUAGUCUCUGGAUAUAGACCCGAAACCGAGUGAUCUAGCCAUGGGCAGGUUGAAGGUUGAGUAACAUCAACUGGAGGACCGAACCGACUAAUGUUGAAAAAUUAGCGGAUGACUUGUGGCUAGGGGUGAAAGGCCAAUCAAACUCGGAGAUAGCUGGUUCUCCCCGAAAGCUAUUUAGGUAGCGCCUCGGACGAAUACUACUGGGGGUAGAGCACUGUUAAGGCUAGGGGGUCAUCCCGACUUACCAACCCUUUGCAAACUCCGAAUACCAGUAAGUACUAUCCGGGAGACACACGGCGGGUGCUAACGUCCGUCGUGGAGAGGGAAACAACCCAGACCGCCAGCUAAGGUCCCAAAUUACAGCUAAGUGGGAAACGAUGUGGGAAGGCUUAGACAGCUAGGAUGUUGGCUUAGAAGCAGCCAUCAUUUAAAGAAAGCGUAAUAGCUCACUAGUCGAGUCGGCCUGCGCGGAAGAUGUAACGGGGCUAAGUU
RNAcentral lists this ribosomal RNA (770 nucleotides) under Vibrio vulnificus. Its description in RNAcentral is "partial 23S ribosomal RNA". It matches the Rfam family "Bacterial large subunit ribosomal RNA", at positions 415 to 1188 of the family's 2925-position model. Lineage: Bacteria; Pseudomonadati; Pseudomonadota; Gammaproteobacteria; Vibrionales; Vibrionaceae. The record is from RNAcentral.